GAAAGAGAAAGAGACAAAAAUAACAGGGGAUUUAGAAUAAUUGGAGAUUGAUCAUUUGGUUCACUUCAAAGGGUGUCCAUAUCAUGAUAGCAGCUUUAUAAAGGUAGCAAAGGAAAGGUCCCAAAAAGCAAUCCCUCCAAAGCUCCUUGGAUUUCUCUAAGCCUCUCUCACUCUGUAAGUUGUAUUGGUAAAAACGAAAUCUUUACUUCUCAAACAA
RNAcentral lists this unclassified non-coding RNA (217 nucleotides) under Hevea brasiliensis (rubber tree). The record is from RNAcentral. Lineage: Eukaryota; Viridiplantae; Streptophyta; Magnoliopsida; Malpighiales; Euphorbiaceae.